This 229-nucleotide unclassified non-coding RNA is filed under the name plant metagenome. Its description in RNAcentral is "partial contains small subunit ribosomal RNA, internal transcribed spacer 1, and 5.8S ribosomal RNA". The record is from RNAcentral.
UCUCCGUAGGUGAACCUGCGGAGGGAUCAUUACAGGGUUCAUGCCCUACCGGGUAGAUCUCCCACCCUAUGUUAUUAUUACUUUGUUGCUUUGGCGGGCCGUUAGGCUCCGGCCCGACUACCGGCCCCGGCUGGUAAGCGCCCGCCAGAGGACCCAAAACCCUGAAUAUUAGUGUCGUCUGAGUACUAUAUAAUAGUUAAAACCUUCAACAACGGAUCUCUUGGUUCUG